RNAcentral lists this unclassified non-coding RNA (269 nucleotides) under Irpex laceratus. RNAcentral's name for it is "Emmia lacerata partial internal transcribed spacer region". The stretch from base 1 to 46 matches the Rfam family "Eukaryotic small subunit ribosomal RNA", at positions 1786 to 1831 of the family's 1831-position model. Lineage: Eukaryota; Fungi; Basidiomycota; Agaricomycetes; Polyporales; Irpicaceae. The record is from RNAcentral.
AAGUCGUAACAAGGUUUCCGUAGGUGAACCUGCGGAAGGAUCAUUAUCGAGUUUUGAACGGGUUGUAGCUGGCCUUUAACGAGGCAUGUGCACACCUGGCUCAUCCACUCUCAACCUCUGUGCACUUUAUGUAAGAAACGGUGUAAGCCAGCUAUUUAAUAGUUGGUAACAAGCCUUUCUUAUGUUUACUACAAACGCUUCAGUUACAGAAUGUUUACUGUGUAUAACACAAUUAUAUACAACUUUCAGCAACGGAUCUCUUGGCUCUC